GCAACCUUGCCAAGGUUGAGGUCGCGAGUUCGAGACUCGUUUCCCGCUCCA
This 51-nucleotide transfer RNA is filed under the name Bordetella bronchiseptica GA96-01. Its description in RNAcentral is "tRNA-Gly". The record is from RNAcentral. Lineage: Bacteria; Pseudomonadati; Pseudomonadota; Betaproteobacteria; Burkholderiales; Alcaligenaceae.